Molecule: ribosomal RNA, 120 nt
Filed under: Pteropus alecto (black flying fox)
Lineage: Eukaryota; Metazoa; Chordata; Mammalia; Chiroptera; Pteropodidae
Source: RNAcentral
GUCUAUGGCCAUGCUACCCUGAACAAGCCUGAUCCCGUCUGAUCUCAGAAGCUAAGCAAGGUUGGGCCUGGUUAGUACUUGGAUGGGAAACCACCUAGGAAGACCAGGUGCUUGUAGGUG